RNAcentral lists this unclassified non-coding RNA (706 nucleotides) under Hevea brasiliensis (rubber tree). The record is from RNAcentral. Lineage: Eukaryota; Viridiplantae; Streptophyta; Magnoliopsida; Malpighiales; Euphorbiaceae.
AAAGUGUUGAGCAAGCAGCCUCUCUGGAAUGGGUUGCUGACACACUACAAGGAGCAUGAAUGCUUGGUAGAAGGUCCUUUAAAUAACUUAAAGCAAAGUAUGGUACAGUUUCAGAAGCCAAAAAAGAUCUACAAUGACCGCAGGCUUUUCUUUGGUGGUGGACCUGGAAUUGUUCCCAGUGAUAAUUAUGGAUCUCCUGCCUCAUCAAACCCCAAUGCUGACAGGCGAAGUAGUCGCUCUAGGGGUUCUUACAUGGCACCUCGUCCAUCCAAUGGUACUCACAGACCUGGUGUCUAUCCUUCUGGUUAUCCAAUGCCUCGAGUUCCCAUCUCCCCUUACCAUGGCGGCCUUCCCCAACCGUAUGCAAUUCCUGCUCGUGGUGCUAUACAGGGACCUGUUGGAGCUGUACCUCAUGUUCCACAGCUAGGUAGCCGGGGUUUUGGUGCCGGGCGUGGGAAUGCCAAUGCUCCAAUUGGUAGCCAUCUUUCUCACCAGCAAGCCUCCCAGCAACCUAUUGGAAGUCAUGGACCUAACUUCAACUUUUCUGCACUUGAAAAUCCAAACAGUCAACCAUCCGGAGGACCUUUAUCUCAGCCUGGAUAUGCUUCUAAUAUGGCCGUUCAAGGACCAAGCCAGACAUUUCGCGAUGGAUUUUCAAUGGGCGGCAUGUCACAGGACUUCUUGGGAGAUGAUUUCAAGAGCCAGG